This 740-nucleotide long non-coding RNA is filed under the name Bos taurus (domestic cattle). RNAcentral's name for it is "long non-coding RNA NONBTAT015907". The record is from RNAcentral. Lineage: Eukaryota; Metazoa; Chordata; Mammalia; Artiodactyla; Bovidae.
UAUGCAUUUGAUCACUGCAUAGGCCCAUAAAAUAUGCACACACUAAAAUUCAAAUCUACAAUUACUAGUUUCUUCCUUGUCAUUGUACUACCAUAUUACAAACAUAUGUGACUCAUUACAAAACUUUCACAUGGGAGCAGUAUUGUUCAGUGGAAACCAACCACCUCACAUUUCAAGACAUGGGAUUGGAUGGUGACUCAGUGCCAUCGUGUCCACAUAUAAAUCCCAAAUUAUCAUAAAUAUAUUCUAACAGAUACAUGAGAUGCUGUCCUCUGACCUCCCCUGAGAAAUAUGUACAAUGCCUUCCAAAACGCCACAUUACUAGGGAAAUCAACUUGUUUCUCCAGGAUAUGGGGAACUAAAUAGUAAAAGUCCAGAUAGAAAAAAUAAAUAAAUAAACAACUCUCAAUCUCAUUGCCAAACAAAUCUUUCCUACUGAAUCCUAUGAGAAUUCCAAAUGUUCAAGCAGUUCUCUGAGCUCAGUUAUUUCACAAAAAUAUCAAAGAUAAGGAAAGCAUUUUUUCAAGAAACUGUCUUGAUUUUGCCUAAUGGGAUCCUUCAGAAUGGUUCUGCUAGGAAUCAAUGCCAACAGAAUCUCAAUUCUGUCUUCCAAAUAUGACAACAGUCUGGGCAAUUCAACAACAAACUGUGUACUUAAAUCUAUUCUUGGGUUUGACUAGAAGCAAGGGGCAUAUCCAGAUUACUGUGGAAACAAUUAUCUUACUGUGUUUUACUAUUUU